CUGUGGGAGAAGGUAGAGGAAGGCCAUGAAAGUCAGGAGAAUGAAAAAAAGGAGACGAGUAAAACUAACAGGAACUGGAAGUUAAAAUUUGGGUCUUUGACAAGAGCUGGAGUGGGAGAUACAGAGGGUCAACAGAUGCAUUCAUCUGAGAAAAACUCGACCCGACGACGGCUGAGCAAGCUGUUCAGGAGGAGUAGGAAAACUCUGCCUGUGUCAUGAUGUUUGGACAUUUUAGUUUCAGUUCUGAAGAGGAGGAAGCUUUCCUUUAAAGGUCUAAACACUGUCGCUGCUUUCAAACUGACUUCCUGUUCAGUCCAUGUGAUUUAGCAAUCUACCAUGUUUAUUUAUUGUCUGCUGUAUACUUGCCUUUAUUUUUAUACUUAUAAAUAAUAUGA
Long non-coding RNA from Perca flavescens (yellow perch), 395 nucleotides. RefSeq lists it as uncharacterized. The transcript is spliced from 3 exons. The record is from RefSeq and is a predicted model, not a curated record. Lineage: Eukaryota; Metazoa; Chordata; Actinopteri; Perciformes; Percidae.